RNAcentral lists this ribosomal RNA (442 nucleotides) under uncultured bacterium. Its description in RNAcentral is "bacterial SSU rRNA". It matches the Rfam family "Bacterial small subunit ribosomal RNA", at positions 354 to 796 of the family's 1533-position model. The record is from RNAcentral.
GUGAGGAAUAUUGCUCAAUGGGCGAAAGCCUGAAGCAGCGACGCCGCGUGAGGGAUGAAAUCCUUUCGGAUGUAAACCUCUUUUGCGAGGGAAGAAUGUCCGCCUUUGGCGGAAGGGACUGUACCUCGUGAAUAAGCACCGGCCAACUACGUGCCAGCAGCCGCGGUAAUACGUAGGGUGCAAGCGUUGUCCGGAAUUACUGGGUGUAAAGGGUCCGUAGGCGGGCAGAUAAGUCGAUGGUGAAAUCCCAUGGCUCAACCGUGGAACUGCCGUUGAUACUGUCUGUCUUGAGUUCGAGAGAGGGCAAUGGAAUUCAUGGUGUAGCGGUGAAAUGCGUAGAUAUCAUGAAGAACACCGAUUGCGAAGGCAGUUGCCUGGCUCGAUACUGACGCUCAGGGACGAAAGCGUGGGUAGCAAACAGGAUUAGAUACCCGAGUAGUCC